GGACCUGAGCUCAAUGGCAGAGCACUUGCCUUGUACACAAAGGCCCCAGGUUCAAAUCUAGGCAUCUCCU
This is a non-coding RNA of Podarcis lilfordi (Lilford's wall lizard), 70 nucleotides long. Lineage: Eukaryota; Metazoa; Chordata; Lepidosauria; Squamata; Lacertidae. The record is from the annotation of a GenBank genome assembly.